GACGUAGGGCGCGAGCGUUGUCCGGAUUUAUUGGGCGUAAAGAGCUCGUAGGCGGCUUGUCGCGUCGUCCGUGAAAACCUGCGGCUCAACUGCAGGCUGGCGGUCGAUACGGGCAGACUAGAGUUCGGCAGGGGAGACUGGAAUUCCUGGUGUAGCGGUGAAAUGCGCAGAUAUCAGGAGGAACACCGAUGGCGAAGGCAGGUCUCUGGGCCACUACUGACGCUGAGAAGCGAAAGCAUGGGGAGCGAACAGG
This 253-nucleotide ribosomal RNA is filed under the name uncultured bacterium. RNAcentral describes it as "partial 16S ribosomal RNA". It matches the Rfam family "Bacterial small subunit ribosomal RNA", at positions 524 to 776 of the family's 1533-position model. The record is from RNAcentral.